Non-coding RNA from Lentisphaerae bacterium GWF2_44_16, 142 nucleotides. The record is from Rfam. NCBI's taxonomy places the organism in Bacteria, Pseudomonadati, Lentisphaerota.
UGAAGCCUUUCCGGGUAAGGUUGAUCCAUCCGCCGGAACUCCGAGUGUUGUUUUGACUGUCCGCGAAGAGUUAGGAAAGUGUACACCGGAGAAAACACAGGCCCAGUAUUGAGCCUCAAAACUUUUUUCAAGUAUAAGAUUC